UACGAGGGGGGCGAGCGUUGUUCGGAAUUAUUGGGCGUAAAGGGUGCGUAGGCGGUUUGGUAAGUCUUGUGUGAAAUCUACAGGCUCAACUUGUAGUCUGCACGAGAAACUGCCGGGCUUGAGUAUGGGAGAGGUGAGUGGAAUUCCUGGUGUAGCGGUGAAAUGCGUAGAUAUCAGGAGGAACACCUGUGGCGAAAGCGGCUCACUGGACCAUAACUGACGCUGAUGCACGAAAGCGUGGGUAGCAAACAGG
RNAcentral lists this ribosomal RNA (253 nucleotides) under uncultured bacterium. Its description in RNAcentral is "partial 16S ribosomal RNA". It matches the Rfam family "Bacterial small subunit ribosomal RNA", at positions 524 to 776 of the family's 1533-position model. The record is from RNAcentral.